CCCAGGAGCCACAAGUGGCAACCACCUUUAUUGGGCCUAAAGCGUCCGUAGCCGGUCAUGUAAAUUUUCUGUGAAAUCGUUGCGCUUAACGUAACGGCGUGCAGAAAAGACUGCAAGACUUGGGACCGGGAGGAGUCAGAGGUAUUUCAGGGGGAGCGGUAAAAUGCUAUAAUCCCUGAAGGACCACCAGUGGCGAAGGCGUCUGACUAGAACGGAUCCAACGGUGAGGGACGAAAGCUAGGGGAGCAAUCCGG
This 254-nucleotide ribosomal RNA is filed under the name uncultured Methanobacteriales archaeon. RNAcentral's name for it is "partial 16S ribosomal RNA". It matches the Rfam family "Archaeal small subunit ribosomal RNA", at positions 474 to 727 of the family's 1478-position model. Lineage: Archaea; Methanobacteriati; Methanobacteriota; Methanobacteria; Methanobacteriales. The record is from RNAcentral.